GUAUACUCGUUUAUGUAGAAUGUUUUAAUGGAAUUUUAUGAAUUUAAUCACUUUCAAGAUUGCUUGACCGAAAUUCGAGAGUUUUUUUUGCAUAUGAAUGAGUCAGAGGGGAAACGUUGGCUACGGGUGAACGAACACCAAGGGAGUACACCGGUGUAUCGAAGUGAGCAACAGGUGUGACUCGUGUAUCUCUGCUGGAUACUUAUGUGAAUAAUCCGGCUGGUCGAUUCGUUGGCAGGUGUACAUAACCGCGUUCUGUCUAGAGUUGUCUCCACGGGAAAUGACGUGAAUGAUUGCUUUCUACGAUAUUAUUUCGUUACACGAAUCGCGUCUGAUCACUAUGCACGAAAUGCAUCAAAAUUUUUAUAGAUUCCACCGCUAGAUAUCGUAUCGUUCGCGGACGAAAGUUUCGAUUACGUCAACUCGCAAGUUAUCGACCUCUCGGCUAAUUCCAGCCUAUGACAACUUCAGAUGGAUUCAAUUAAUCUUCGAUAUUUAACGCUGACAGCAAGACAUGGAAACUAAUUAAAAUUCCAAACAAUAAGUAAGGAUCGCUGUUGAUUCGUGGUAUGCACCUGUGGAGCGAGGCGAAAUGCGCAGCAAGAAGAGGAACAAAAAGACAGGGUGAUGUUCGACCGAACGAUUUUCUCUGGUCCUUUAAUCAAGAAGGAGGAACCCGUAACGACGUAGCGCGUAAUGAGUAAUGACAUCUGGUCUGUAUAGGGCGGGGCUAACAGGUCCCACGCGGUCUCCUGGUUAUACAUAUAUAUUCUACGUACACUAACACUAUCGUCCGGUUUCUGCUCAUUUAAACACUUACGAACUCGAUUUAAACGACCUCCAUCCGUGCGAUUGCCUCUCGUCCGCGCUGUUCGUAUCGUUCGUGUAAAACUUCGUGCAGAUUUAUGAGAUUAUUUAUGUGUCUAAAUAUGAAAUAGAUCUUAUUUUGUUAGAAAAAGUUAAUUAAUUUUAAUAUUUAAUCGAGAUAACGACUUAAUAUUUCGAAUGCAAACGUGUUUAAAAUUUUUGUAGUUAAAAAGUAAUUUUCUUUCUCUAUUGAUUGAAAAUUUAUUGAUUUCUGUGAUUAUGACAAACUAAAUCUUAUUUCAAAAAAUAUAUUUUUAUUCCAUGAAUCAUUUUAUUCUAACUUACAAGAAGGUAAAAUUAUUUUAUUAAUAAAUAACCUCAAAAGAUCGAAACAUACUUCGAUUUUCAUAGAAUUUAUUAGCUAACAUAGCUCGGUUGCGUAAUAGUUAGAAAUGCAUAAAACGCAAUUAUAAAUCCAUUUCAUAACGCGAACUGUUAGUGCCAGAUACAGACGUAUACGCGUGUAUAUUGAAAGUGCAAUAUGUUCGCGUUAAAACAUCCGCCUGCUAAAUACGGUAUAAGCGUAUCUUAGAAUCAUACCGGGUGAUACUGUUGCAGCAUUUUAGCUUUGUCGCUGACAUCUGAAUCGUAAUUGCAUACGAAAUAUUAUAGUAUACGGAUAAGGAUUUCCUAAUAUAGACUAAGCUUAUAUGGAAAGAUAAACUAUCCUACAUUAGGAUGUCUAACGUCCUCUCUAACAUCUUGUAUACAAGAACAAGUCCGGUUGUGUAACGGUUUAAUAGCAAAAACUAUAUUACCGGCAUAAAAGAGCAAGAAUAUAAUUUCUCUGCACGAUUUUUCAUUUGUGUUUCACGAAAAUACAACUGUUGUAAUAUCUCUCUCCAUUUUAUAUAUUAAUUAUACUCUUUACAGUGAAAUAUUUUCCUCUAAAAAAGGAUUGUAGGUAAAAGGAUCGAUGGAUCGUAUUUUUUAUCGGAGGGACAAGAUAUCUAUGUUGGCCGAAAAGAAUAUACAAGAAGGAAGAGCGAGAAACUGGUCAUUACGAGCGAAUAGCUGCGUCGAAGUUGUGAGAACCGUGGUGCUCUGAGACGGUGUUAUUAAGCAAAAAUAUUACACCGUUUUCAGAGCAUUAACGAACAAGUUUUACAGGGGAACGUAAACCGUGGCCGGCUCAUAUAUUAAGCUGGUUUGAAUGUUCUAUGAACGAAUACGACAAAUCCGUGCUUCGGUUCUGACCUUCUUUGGCGCGACAGCGUGGGCGCAUUUACUUCAGACGGAAUUACAGUCUGCACUUACUCCAUCUUACCUCAGUCAUUUCAGUAUAAGUAACUGCAAUCGUGAACCGUGACCGCUGUAUCGUAUCAUCUGGUUUACGUAAUUAUACGUAUGAAUGCACCGUCUUGGAUCGAAAGGUAAUUCGCCCGGAAGUGAUUCUUACGUGAGCUUGGUGGUCCUUGGUGAUUACGGAAUUUAGAAUUCGUCGCAGCAUAGGAAGAAACUGGUUUUACCUGAAUCAUUUCACGGUUGGGAAAAUGGAUCGCACAUUAGCCAGGACACUGUUAGAAGUUGCCGAGUUAACUCGCAACGUUAUAUUAGAAAAAAAUAUCAGUUCAAGGAAAUUUUAGGAUUGAUUUUUAAGGAAUAUUGGAGAUAUAUAUUCUUAUUUUACUAUGCAUGUUCGCAUAUUAAAUGGUAUGUAUAAAUGGAUCGAGCUCAAGCAUUUUCCUGAUUCAAAACGUUGUAUCUUUGAAUGGAUAAAUGAAAUCUAAUAUACGGAUCAACAAUAAGUAUAAUAUUAUAGCAAGGAAACUUGGUUAAAAGCCAAGAAAUGUAAAUCACGUACAUAGUUUGAUCUAUACGGAAUCGUAAUGGAUAUGCAAAACUAGAGUAAAGUGCCAGAUACCGU
This is a long non-coding RNA of Apis florea (little honeybee), 2734 nucleotides long. NCBI's taxonomy places the organism in Eukaryota, Metazoa, Arthropoda, Insecta, Hymenoptera, Apidae. The record is from RefSeq and is a predicted model, not a curated record.